GCGGGCGUAGCUCAGCGGUAGAGCGCAACCUUGCCAAGGUUGAUGUCGAGAGUUCGAUCCUCUUCGCCCGCUCCA
RNAcentral lists this transfer RNA (75 nucleotides) under Asticcacaulis sp. YBE204. Its description in RNAcentral is "tRNA-Gly". It matches the Rfam family "tRNA". Rfam says of the family: Transfer RNA (tRNA) molecules are approximately 80 nucleotides in length. Their secondary structure includes four short double-helical elements and three loops (D, anti-codon, and T loops). Further hydrogen bonds mediate the characteristic L-shaped molecular structure. tRNAs have two regions of fundamental functional importance: the anti-codon, which is responsible for specific mRNA codon recognition, and the 3' end, to which the tRNAs corresponding amino acid is attached (by aminoacyl-tRNA synthetases). tRNAs cope with the degeneracy of the genetic code in two manners: having more than one tRNA (with a specific anti-codon) for a particular amino acid; and 'wobble' base-pairing, i.e. permitting non-standard base-pairing at the 3rd anti-codon position. The record is from RNAcentral. RNAcentral also lists the same sequence under 7 other names. Lineage: Bacteria; Pseudomonadati; Pseudomonadota; Alphaproteobacteria; Caulobacterales; Caulobacteraceae.